RNAcentral lists this long non-coding RNA (631 nucleotides) under Solanum pimpinellifolium. RNAcentral describes it as "long non-coding RNA (SPIM_LNC000200)". The record is from RNAcentral. Lineage: Eukaryota; Viridiplantae; Streptophyta; Magnoliopsida; Solanales; Solanaceae.
UGUCCUUCUUCUUUAAUCGGUCGCACCAACUUGUUCCCGCUUUGGGAAGGGAACUUGGUUGGAAUUCCAAUUUCAAAGAAAACACAUGCGAAAGGCAAGACAUUGAGAAGGGCUUGUUCUUGAAUUAGAUGGAACAUUAGCGGUCUUAGGUGAUUUAUCAUUGCCCCCAGGAGAGGUUCGAAAGUAGGGCUAUUCAAAGCACAGUGAGGCAAAGCGAGUGACAGGUAUGCAAUCCCCAGUAAAGUAAGCCAAGUAACGACUAUCUACAACCUCUUCUUUCAUUUGUCCUGAAAACAAGCUAUUUGUUCUGAAAGAAAAGCAAGCUAAGACGCUUUUUUCGCGGCAAGAGCGGUGUUGUAGCAUCAACAGGAAAGUUAUUUGGCAGUUGCUUUAGCAGCUCCUUCUCUAAGACCGUCUUCAAUAGCAGCGCUUAUUCCAACAACACCAGCAAGAGCGGAUACUCACCUAAGAGCAGAUAUGCCGACAUCUUUCCACGUUCAAGCAGCUAAUCAGUAAACGACUUCUCCGUCACUUGUUCUUAUUCUUAAACCCUUCGUGCCCCAUAGCUGUCGUAGUUAGAUAUCAAGGUUCUCCCUCUUAAUGAUAAUUACUUUCCUGGGGCGGUUGUGCA